This 378-nucleotide unclassified non-coding RNA is filed under the name plant metagenome. RNAcentral's name for it is "partial contains 5.8S ribosomal RNA, internal transcribed spacer 2, and large subunit ribosomal RNA". The stretch from base 1 to 105 matches the Rfam family "5.8S ribosomal RNA", at positions 50 to 154 of the family's 154-position model. The record is from RNAcentral.
GAAAUGCGAUAAGUAAUGUGAAUAGCAGAAUUCAGUGAAUCAUCGAAUCUUUGAACGCACCUUGCGCUCCUUGGUAUUCCUUGGAGCAUGCCUGUUUGAGUAUCAUGAAAUCUUCAAAGUAAAUCUUUUGUUAACUCAAUUGGUUUCUACUUUGGUAUUGGAGGUCUUUGCAGCUUCACACCUGCUCCUCUUUGUUCAUUAGCUGGAUCUCAGUGUUAUGCUUGGUUCCACUCGGCGUGAUAAGUUAUCUAUCGCUGAGGACACUGUAAAAGGUGGCCAAGGUAAAUGCAGAUGAACCGCUUCUAAUAGUCCAUUGACUUGGACAAUACUUUUAUGAUCUGAUCUCAAAUCAGGUAGGACUACCCGCUGAACUUAAGC